Molecule: long non-coding RNA, 466 nt
Filed under: Salmo trutta (river trout)
Lineage: Eukaryota; Metazoa; Chordata; Actinopteri; Salmoniformes; Salmonidae
Description: lncRNA (ENSSTUG00000003744.1)
Source: RNAcentral
GGGGUUAGGGUGGAGGAGGACCAUGGUCCCUAACUCCUGUAAGCUAACCCAGGACCAGCUGGCUGAGAGAGUGCUAGCAGAGGACAGGUGAGUGUGUGUGUGUGUGUGUGUGUGUAUACAUGGUUGUGUCCUAGUUACAUGAUGGAAGUGGUGUACUUUCCUCCGACAUAUGCUGUCUGUGUGCUGAGAUGUAUUUUCUGUUAGGAGGUUAAUGUUGGCUUUGUUUGGAAUUGUUUAGAACAUUACUCUUGCUUUUGGUUGAGAUAGAGGCACACGGUAGUGAUAAAGGCAAGAUGUGCAAUUGUUUUGGCAUGGUGGAAUUGCUGCAGCGCUCUCGCGUGUGUGUGUGUGUGUUCCAGUACCAGCCUGUUACCAGUACUAGAGGAGGAGGAGGAGGGCAUACAGGAGUCAGUGGUGCAGGUGCCUACAGUGGAAGUGGACUUGGCAGGGACAGUCAGUCUGGCAG